AGUGUGUGGGGCAUCCGUAUUAAAGCUAAACGUCUAGAGUUGUUAGUAAAUGCGUCCCCUUUGUGAAAUAAUUCUCCAUUUACUAGUGGUGUAGGUGCUUUCCAUAUUCUGCACAUCCAUCUUUCUAGUGUAUCCAGUUCUUACACAAAGUUUCUAACCAUUUUGGUGAGUGUCAUUUUGCAAAGAUGGAAGGAAUUUUCCUUAGUCUUCUCGCUGAGGAAAUCCUGAAGAAGGUCGUUUCCCUUGCUGCUGAAGAGAUGAGACAC
RNAcentral lists this long non-coding RNA (266 nucleotides) under Actinidia chinensis (golden kiwifruit). Its description in RNAcentral is "long non-coding RNA (ACHI_LNC001461)". The record is from RNAcentral. Lineage: Eukaryota; Viridiplantae; Streptophyta; Magnoliopsida; Ericales; Actinidiaceae.